CGCUGCUUGUACGCUUUUUACAUCAUCACAAAUUAUGAAAGGUGUGCCGUGUAAUCGUGUAAAAGUGUUGCUGGAACGCGUCUCAAGACAGAACUAUUUAAGACAGAACUUAACACUUAUAAAUUAAAGGGAUGAAACUAAAAAAGCAUUAGACAAUUUAAAAUAAAGAUCUCACAUACACAUUUUGACUGUUUUGACAAGUUUGAUCAUCAUCAGUUAAUUUCAGCUGCGUAAGAGCUCCAGCUGUUUUAACUUUUCAUGACUCCGAACAGAUCUUGGACUCAUCCAUGUUGUCUCAAUACUAUCAUUUAAUUUUUAGUUUCGUAUAAAAUUGUGGAAAGAUUCCCAGAUUUUUUUUUAUGAGCGCAGCGUGUGUGGAUUUUCCUGCCAGCCAACUUGUAAAAUUGUGUUUGAACGCAGCAGGUAAUAUUCAGUAUCACGUGUAGAUCUUGCAACCAGCACACAACCUGUGUAAGUGAUCCUCAUGCAUAUAAUGAAACUGCUUCAUUAUGUUUUCUGCUCCUCGGUAUGUUCUUCUCUGCCCUUUAAUUUAUACUGUUUAUAUAUGUUUAAUUACGUGUGACGACCCUGCUGGUUCCUGGUCCCCUGUGUCGUCUUUCUUUUGUUUCAGGUGCCAGUGGGUGUGGUCUGUGGGAUCGGGGUCUGAUUGACAGUGGAUUUCUCAAAAAGCUACUAUCCCGGAGUGGGACGUCCCAUAAUCCCCCCUGAAGAUUGAUCAGACAGCGACACCUAGUGGUAGUGUGAUGGGACUGCAGCAGGAUCCAGGAUCGCAGCAGGUUUUCUCUGCUGCGAAAGUGUUUCUCAACUCUUCCGGUUUUGAAGAAUGACGUAAGCAAAACCAGACCAAACUGGCUCUGUAUCUCAUGUCGCUCUCUGUCUUUCUCUCACUCCCUCUCUCUACCCACUCCCUGAUCUCCCAUAGUGUCUCUCUACCAACACACUCUGACCCCAACCAACCCCCUCCGACCCCUGAGGGGCCAGAGAGUGUCCUGGAGGACUGCCGGAGGAGGGGCCUAGUCAGCCUUUUGUUCCCGCUUGCAUAGCCAUCCAAUCCCUAUCGUCUGACGUAGACCUAAUGUGCCUAAAUUUCCCAUCAUGCCCUCGUAACACUGAUGAUGUCCAAAAGAACCACCUUGGGUCGUACAACAGUGGGUCACACUGGGCCAAUAGGCCUACAGGUACAAAACUCAAAGUACAGCACCCAGCCCAGGCGGCUCUCUAGUGUUGUCUUGUAUCGAUAAUAAGCAGUUUAACUGUUUCUAGCAGCCACCAUGAGUCAGGGAGGUGAUGGGACAUAGCCCUAUAUAUUCAGACAAGGUUUUUAAAGAUAUUGUGUUAGUUCUCUAACACAUCUAUUAAAAUUGGAACGAUACAGAGAAGAUUAGCAUGGCCCCUGCGCAAAGGAUGGGGCCCGAUGUUCGGGGGGCCCCCGUGUGGCCAAAGCGCCUCAAUGCAGCUCAAAGCAGCGCGGAGAGGGAAUCAAAACAAUCAGAUCAAAAUAACCACUGGCACCCUCUGCCGGCCGCGCGCUGUAAUCGCACUCAAUCCGAGGAGCGUUACACCUCCUCCUCUUGUGUUUGUGUUAUGUUAUAUCCAUAUCUAGUUAAAGAUGAAAUAAGAUCGAUU
This is a long non-coding RNA of Labrus mixtus (cuckoo wrasse), 1647 nucleotides long. RefSeq lists it as uncharacterized. The record is from RefSeq and is a predicted model, not a curated record. The transcript is spliced from 3 exons. Lineage: Eukaryota; Metazoa; Chordata; Actinopteri; Labriformes; Labridae.